GAGCCAAUGGGACAUUAGCAAGUAUAGCACAUGGAGGGGCUUGAUGAGGAAGUGCCCAGUGGGGCUUGUCCUCUUAGACGCCAGCUGCUAUGUUGUAAAGAAGCUCGGCUAGCCUACUGAAUGGUGAGAGGCCACGUGGAGAGAAACCAUGGAGGACAUGAGGCCUCUUGUCCUUCCAUCUAGCCAGGCUCCCAGCUGGGCGUAGGAGUGAGUCAGCUACAUGGAGCAGAAGAACCGCCCAGCUGAAUCCCGUUGACCACAGAUUCGUAGGAAGUAACCGUGUUGUUUUAAGCCCCUCAGUUUUGAGGUGGUAUGGUACCCAAGCAAUAGGUAACUCAAACAAAGGGACUGAGGGAUGGUCCAGGAACUUUCACAUCAUACUCAGCCUAAUGACAGGAGAGGGAUCUCACCCAUUCCCCCCAGGACAAUGACUGACUCCUAGGGCCUCACCGACAGUGCCCUAGGAAUACAAGUCAGCCGGUGUUAAUGAAGCUGCAGUCAGGGUUCCCAACUAUCCAGGUCAGCUUUGCUCCACCUAGAAGAAACCCUGUCUCUGUCCACCAACAGAAACCUCAAAAAGCAGCUCUGGCCAUGUUGCAGAAGGAUGCACACUCUCUUGAACAAGCUGAAGGCAGCCAGUCAGUGCAGCCAUCCCUUCAGCUUGUGGACUGCAAUGUGCAAAGGAUGGAAAGGAUGCUGUGGACUCAAACUGCUGAGGAGCCUGCAGGCUCACCACGAGAAUGGAGGGAAGCCUGGGAACAAAGUCCCCUUGCUGGAAGCAUGGCUAUCAGGUCACCUGACUCAGUGAUGGGAGGCAAGGACUUGGGGUCCAGUGCUCGAGCUGCCUCUCCUGUCUUCACCGAGGAGGCAGGACAGAUCCAGUUUGGGCAGGAUGUAUAAGAUUUGGACACAUGGAAAAGAUGGAGGUGGCAAGAAAAAAAG
RNAcentral lists this long non-coding RNA (942 nucleotides) under Equus caballus (horse). RNAcentral describes it as "lncRNA (ENSECAG00000051080.1)". The record is from RNAcentral. Lineage: Eukaryota; Metazoa; Chordata; Mammalia; Perissodactyla; Equidae.